RNAcentral lists this ribosomal RNA (253 nucleotides) under uncultured bacterium. RNAcentral describes it as "partial 16S ribosomal RNA". It matches the Rfam family "Bacterial small subunit ribosomal RNA", at positions 524 to 776 of the family's 1533-position model. The record is from RNAcentral.
UACGAAGGGGGCUAGCGUUGUUCGGAAUCACUGGGCGUAAAGCGCACGCAGGCGGAUUGAUAAGUCGGGGGUGAAAGCCCCGGGCUCAACCUGGGAAUUGCAUUCGAGACUGAAUAGCUAGGGUACGGUAGAGGGAAGUGGAAUUUCCGGUGUAGCGGUGAAAUGCGUAGAUAUCGGAAGGAACAUCAGUGGCGAAAGCGACUUCCUGGACCAGUACCGACGUUCAGGCACGAAAGCGUGGGGAGCAAACAGG